GGUGUGACUGAAGGAUGUGACUACUUAAAUCCAACGGGCAAGCUCUACUAUGAGCAUUGAGUCCCUGGCCCGCUGGGACAGCACUGGCUGCCGUUUGUUUUAGUUGAUUUUACAUGUGCUGCGGCUGGAGCGUCCUUCUCUCACUGGUGUCAUCUGGGACUGGGAGUUCACUUAGACGGUGAUUUGGUUUGUGGUGCACGCAGUUUAUAGCAUGGUGUUUUUGUUUGGAAGUAAUUGGAUUUAUGUUUUGUUUGUAGUAUAACCCCAGUCCCGCCAUGGUGAGUGUCUGGGAUCUCGGCCGGAGCUCGACUGUCUAUCACCUUGUCUUUCAUUGCUGUGUUUUGAGGUUUCAGUUAUGUUUAAUAAAAUGGCAUGUGUCUGACCCACA
This is a long non-coding RNA of Melanotaenia boesemani (Boeseman's rainbowfish), 388 nucleotides long. RefSeq lists it as uncharacterized. The transcript is spliced from 2 exons. Lineage: Eukaryota; Metazoa; Chordata; Actinopteri; Atheriniformes; Melanotaeniidae. The record is from RefSeq and is a predicted model, not a curated record.